Molecule: RNA transcript, 3439 nt
Organism: Mauremys mutica (yellowpond turtle)
Lineage: Eukaryota; Metazoa; Chordata; Testudines; Geoemydidae
Gene: ESR2
Gene name: estrogen receptor 2
Exons: 11
Source: RefSeq, a predicted model, not a curated record
AUGGCUGACAUAUCAGGAUAUCUGUCACUCCACUGUUUGGUUACAAAGUUGUUGCAUAUUCUAGGAAAAGUUGUAUAGUCAUUGUUUCUGUUUCAGGCUCCAGGUAAUAAAGAAAACAUGUAUUUUCAUUCUGAUAAUUCCAAAAAUGCAGAAGUUCACUGUUUAAAUUAGCUGCCUAGUACAAAACAUUUUAAAAAACUCUUGAGACAGGUAAUUUGCAAUAAGCAGCAAUUUUCAGUUGCAUGUAGUUUUAGAUAGUUUAAUUAUUUACUUAUGUACCUAUUUGACCAAUUCUCUGCUUGCUCUGCAGUAUAUUGGACAGUGAAUAUUCAAGAUACAGACGAUUGAAAAUAUAGAGCUAUUUAAAGACCAGAAACCUAUUUGGUUGUGGGGACAACAUUAAAAGCUUGGACAAUGUUUCUGCAUAGUCUUGGAUACUAAUGCUAUCCUCUGGUUUGGAAGUCAAUGAAAUUGUGAAUUCUGCACUCAGUGUCUUAAAUUAAUGAAGGCUUAAAUAUCUUAGGAUGAAUAUUUGAACAACAGAUACUCUGCUUCAGAAUGUCCAUCUGUGCAUCUUCUCACAAGGAGUUUUCUCAGUUACUGCCAAUUCAGGAUACUGGACGUAGUAAAAUAGAAAUUAAAAGCUCACCUUCUGGCAUCAGCUCUCCUGUUUAUAGCUGCAGUCAGUCUUCUCUGACAAUGCAACAGAGUCCGAUUUAUAUUCCUUCAUCUUAUGUGGAAAACAGACACGAAUAUUCUGCAAUGGCUUUCUAUAGUCCUGCCAUGAUGAAUUACAACAUUCCUAGCAAUUUCAGUGAUUCAGAAAGUGCAUCUGUAAGGCAGACAUCAAGCCCAAAUGUUUUAUGGUCUGCUCCUGGCCAUAUUUCACCUUUGACAUUACAUUGCCAGUCAUCACUUUUAUAUGCAGAGCAACCAAAGAGCCCAUGGUGUGACGCAAGACCAGCAGACCAUGCACUGCCUAUGAACAGAGAGACAUUAAAAAGAAAAUCUAAUGGCAGUGAUUGUACAAGUCCUGCUGUGAAUAGUCCUGGUUCAAAAAGAGAUGCACACUUCUGUGCAGUCUGCAGUGAUUAUGCUUCAGGAUAUCACUAUGGCGUUUGGUCUUGUGAAGGAUGUAAAGCAUUCUUUAAAAGAAGUAUCCAAGGACACAAUGAUUACAUCUGUCCAGCUACCAAUCAAUGCACAAUAGAUAAAAAUAGGCGUAAAAGCUGUCAGGCGUGUAGACUACGGAAAUGCUGUGAAGUAGGAAUGAUGAAAUGUGGUUCAAGAAGAGAACGUUGUGGGUAUCGUAUCAUACGCCGUCAUCGUAAUUCAGAAGAUCAAGUGCAUUGCACUGGCAAAGCUAAAAAGAAUAGUGAAAAUAUAACCCGAGUGAAAGAAAUCCUUCUUAGUGCACUCAGUCCUGAGCAGUUUGUUUUAACGUUACUUGAAGCUGAACCUCCUAAUGUGCUGCUGGUGAGUCGCCCCAACAAGCCAUUUACAGAAGUCUCCAUGAUGAUGUCAUUGACAAAACUUGCAGACAAAGAAUUGGUUCACAUGAUUGGUUGGGCCAAGAAAAUUCCUGGCUUCAUAGAGCUCAGUCUGUACGAUCAAGUGAGGCUCUUGGAGAGUUGUUGGAUGGAAGUUUUAAUGGUGGGUUUGAUGUGGAGGUCGAUUGAUUAUCCUGGCAAGCUAAUUUUUGCACCAGAUCUUGUAUUAGACAGGGAUGAGGGGAAAUGUGUAGAAGGAAUUCUGGAAAUCUUUGACAUGCUCCUGGCCACAACAUCAAGAUUUCGAGAGCUGAAAUUACAGCACAAGGAGUAUCUGUGUGUCAAGGCUAUGAUUCUUCUCAAUUCCAAUAUGUUUCCAUUAUCAGCUGCUGCAGAAGAAUCUGAAAGCAACAGGAAGCUACAUCACUUGCUUAAUGCAGUAACUGAUGCUUUGGUGUGGGUUAUUGCAAAAAGUGGAAUCCCAUCUCAGCAACAGACAACUCGUUUGGCUAACUUGUUGAUGUUACUUUCUCAUGUCAGGCAUGCAAGUAACAAAGGUAUGGAGCACCUUCUGAGCAUGAAGUGUAAAAAUGUGGUCCCAGUCUAUGACUUGCUGCUGGAAAUGCUGAAUGCACACACACUUCGAGGUCAAAGAAAGUCUGCAGUCACAGAUUCUGAAUUUGGCCCAUCAGAACAAACUGAUACUAGAGAUGAUAUGCGGAAUAUGGCAGAACAGUAACUUUAUAAUUACCUGGAAGAUCAGCCCAGCCCAACCCUAGGAAGUAACCCUACAGUGAAAAAUCAGAGGCCAGACUUCAGUAUCAAGCUACAAAAGGGUUAUUGUAAUCAACUGAGAGUAAAAAUAAUUUUGAAGAAGUCUGAAAGAUAGCUUGGCUCCUGCUGGGAGAGUGCUGGAGUCACCUGAUGCCAACGCCAGCCAGGUUGGUGCCUCUACCAAACCCCAGCUGACUGCCAAGGCAACGAUUGCUGAGGGAUCUCCUGCAUUGGAAGAAGGGGUAGGAAACGACCCAGGGAAGGAGCGGUAGUGAUGGGAGACUAAGACUGAGCAGCGAGGUAUCAGUUCCCUCAGGUCCUGGGUUGGGAACUGGGUGAAGGGUAGGCCCGGGUCCCCCUACUCCAUCUGACCUACCAUGGACACCGCCGACAUGCAGGGAGGUGGAUUGGGCCAUACAGCCCUGGGAAGAAAGGCGGCUACUUAGACUUCAGCCAAUAGGCCUUACUGUCCUGAACCCCAGGCCUGCCUUACUGGCUUGGGCUGCGGGGCCGUAUGUGCCCCGCGACACCUUGUAUAGAAAUACCAUAAUAAUAAAAUGAUUAUAAUGUACUACUUGUACUCUGAAAGGUCAGCUUGACAACCAGAUCUACAACCUAGACAGGGUACAUGACAAUUAGUUGGAAAAUAGUAACACUACACAGGAAUUUUUUCUACAGUAAAUGAGGAAUACUUUAUCGAGACAAAAAUACAGAAGAAAUAUAGAGAAGUAGAAUGUAAUUAUCCAGACUGAAUUUGGCAAAAACAACAGGAUUAACAACCAAAGUAAAUACAAGUGGCCAAGUUUUAUGCAUCAUCUGAAAGAGGCAUUUCCGGCAGUAUAGUGCUACAUAAAACCAUGUUGGGGUAUUGCUUUUGUGCUGACUGAGAAGAAAAAGUGCCAACCCACUCAAUCACCAACAUCACUUCCCAUAGCACAUAGGCCGGCCUGCCUUGGAGAUCUACCAUCCACACAGUGACCUGGCUUGAUGCUGGUCAGAGUGUGAGAACUGAUGCAGUCACAGCAUAAAAUAGUUGGUAUAGCUGCAAUUUAUCACUGUCACUCUAUUGGAGGUUUAUAAUUAUGGUACACACCUGAUCUUAUGAAGGUCUCAGAAACACCUGAGACCAGAAAACAGGGUCUUGUAAGGUUAAGUAUCAGAGGGGUAGCCGUGUU